GACGAACGCUGGCGGCGUGCCUAAUACAUGCAAGUCGAGCGAAUGGAUUAAGAGCUUGCUCUUAUGAAGUUAGCGGCGGACGGGUGAGUAACACGUGGGUAACCUGCCCAUAAGACUGGGAUAACUCCGGGAAACCGGGGCUAAUACCGGAUAACAUUUUGAACCGCAUGGUUCGAAAUUGAAAGGCGGCUUCGGCUGUCACUUAUGGAUGGACCCGCGUCGCAUUAGCUAGUUGGUGAGGUAACGGCUCACCAAGGCAACGAUGCGUAGCCGACCUGGGAGGGUGAUCGGCCACACUGGGACUGAGACACGGCCCAGACUCCUACGGGAGGCAGCAGUAGGGAAUCUUCCGCAAUGGACGAAAGUCUGACGGAGCAACGCCGCGUGAGUGAGGAAGGCUUUCGGGUCGUAAAACUCUGUUGUUAGGGAAGAACAAGUGCUAGUUGAAUAAGCUGGCACCUUGACGGUACCUAACCAGAAAGCCACGGCUAACUACGUGCCAGCAGCCGCGGUAA
Molecule: ribosomal RNA, 515 nt
Filed under: uncultured bacterium
Lineage: Bacteria
Description: partial 16S ribosomal RNA
Rfam family: Bacterial small subunit ribosomal RNA
Source: RNAcentral